GAUGAACGCUGGCGGCGUGCCUAAUACAUGCAAGUCGAGCGAACGGACGAGAAGCUUGCUUCUCUGAUGUUAGCGGCGGACGGGUGAGUAACACGUGGAUAACCUACCUAUAAGACUGGGAUAACUUCGGGAAACCGGGGCUAAUACCGGAUAAUAUUUUGAACCGCAUGGUUCAAAAGUGAAAGACGGUCUUGCUGUCACUUAUAGAUGGAUCCGCGCUGCAUUAGCUAGUUGGUAAGGUAACGGCUUACCAAGGCAACGAUGCAUAGCCGACCUGAGAGGGUGAUCGGCCACACUGGAACUGAGACACGGUCCAGACUCCUACGGGAGGCAGCAGUAGGGAAUCUUCCGCAAUGGGCGAAAGCCUGUCGGAGCAACGCCGCGUGAGUGAUGAAGGUCUUCGGAUCGUAAAACUCUGUUAUUAGGGAAGAACAUAUGUGUAAGUAACUGUGCACAUCUUGACGGUACCUAAUCAGAAAGCCACGGCUAACUACGUG
RNAcentral lists this ribosomal RNA (497 nucleotides) under uncultured bacterium. RNAcentral's name for it is "partial 16S ribosomal RNA". It matches the Rfam family "Bacterial small subunit ribosomal RNA", at positions 28 to 507 of the family's 1533-position model. The record is from RNAcentral.